CCAGCCUCCCCCGGCGGGGACGGGACAUCUUCCGGCGGGAGUCGGAACCGGGAGGGCGGGGAGCGACGUGGUGUGCGCAUGCGUAGCUGCCUGUGUGAGGGCGUCUGCCAUAUGGGAGUGUUAAGCAAAUGUGUCUGAGCCUGUUGUUUACAUUGGCAAGUAAGAGAAGUUCUGAAGAAAAAGCUGAAGAUCUGACAUCCGCACCACUGAUGUGGCAGUCCAGACCAGCUUUUGUCACUGUGGACGCAGCGACAGCUGGAGUUUGAAUAUACUGAGUGUGUUCUGGGGGUGUAACUGAGUUUGCUUUCCUUCGAAAAGAAUCUGUUCUGCACACUCCAAGACUCUGGAUGGGUGAUGAUUCACUGAGCUGAAGCAACCCGGGGAGAAGCAGAGUGCAGGGCUAAAAGUCUUCUUCCUGGCAGAUGUGAGUCACUGGCAUGAGCCAGGUAGCUACAGGAGUUGGAGGUGAAAAAGGCAGGUCCCCUCUGAAAUUCCCGUACAGAUGGCACAUGGGACAACACGGACUGGAGAAUGCCCUGUCUGUCCGGAGUUAAAGGGCUUUACAGGGCAAUUAGCUGAAAAAGCAGUGGGGCAUGUUCAAAACAGGGAGGCAGAAUUUGAGCAGUUUUUGUUUUAGUGUUUUUCCUUUUGCAGGGAGGCGGGAAAAAAAAUUGGGCUGGGACUUGUCCACUUUGCUUGCAUGCUGCAUGGCUCAAACAGUUGACUGUUGGAUCUCAGAUGGAAAUUGCAAUUUGCAGCAUGGAGAAGGUAAGGAGAAGCUUCCCGAACCCAUCUGGGGAGUAAUUUUUGAAUGUGGAGCCCUCUUCCAAUCUCUGUAAUGGUGAGUCUAGGCCUUGGGGUGUCUGCACUCUGCAGCAGUCAGCAAUUUGGUGUGACACUCAGUGCCACGUUGACAGGACCAUGUUGACUAGCCUGGAGUCACUGCCGCUUUACUGGCAUUUUCUUGACACCAACUCCUGUGGAGUUGUAGACUGUCAUCCACAGCCCUUGCUGCUAAGUAUAUUAAAUGGUGUUGUUAUGGUUUCUAAAAAGAGCAUAAAUAAUUCUGUUCAGUGUGAAAUGUAUACCAUGGAUUAGUUUCUCCGUAUUCAAAGAACCAUAUUUGCUGACUGGAAAUUUUCAGGUUUUUUAUGUUUUGUUUGGUUUUAGUUUUUGUUUGUUUAUUUUUUUCAGGAGUGGACAUAAUAAAUUACACCUUAAAGUCUUGGGUUUUAUGAUCUGGUGCUAAGACAGCUUGUUGGGGGUUAGAUUUGGUUUUUUUUUCUCUCUUCUCACAGAAUUUUUUCCCAUAAGUUUCCAAAAGCCUUGAUGACUACUUAGUCAGAACAAAAAGAGUGCUUGAGGGAUAUAGCAGCACGAGGCUACACCUAUUGUUUUUGAGUCCCUGGGAGUGUCCCUCAGAGGGGAGAGAUGAUGAGCUUUGGGAAAGGCAAAAAAGACAGAUCUGGGGGAGGGGGAGGCACUCUUGCUCUCAGCGCCGAGGAGGACGGUCAGGCUGCCCUCUGCCUCUGCCUCGUCCUGGGAAAUCUACCGUCAUCUACUGUGUACCUGGGAAUCCUGAACUCGCUUUCUCCAGCCUCUCCCCCCACCGCCGCUGCUUCUUCGGAGCUUUGAGGCUCUCCUGCUACUCUGUAGCCCUGCACUGCCCAGCCCUGCCGGGACACCCCUGCUGUUCCAGCUGCCAGCGCAGAGCUCCUCAUCUCAUCCACCGGCCCGGGACUUUUCCUUCCUUCCAGUUCGGCCUCUCGGAGUCCUGCAGGGGCACCCAGAUCAAACUGCUCUGGGCUUUUGUAAAAGAAAGCCCUCAAGGUUCUUCGUUCUGUUUAUUAUUGAUGCUGUAGUUGUUGUUUGUUUGUUGUUUUGUCAUAUAUACUAGUAAAGAACUGUUAUUCCUACCCCCAUACCUCUGCCUGAAAGCUCCUUUAAUUUUCCUUUUAAUUGGAAUAAUUUGGAGGGAGGGGAUUUGAAUUCUCCAUCUCUAGGGAGGUCCUGCCCCUUCCUAGCAGAUAUCUGUCUUUCAAACCAAGACACAGCUGAGGCCACAAAUGGCUCUUGGGUGACUGUAGGCUUGACAAAGAACUGUACUAUGCAUUGACUCCAAGGGAAAAGUGAGAAGAGGUGGAUGUUCUGGAGCAUGUAUGUGAUAUGUUCUGUCUUGGUCAGGAGGGUUGAAUUAGAUCAUCUCUAGAGAACCUUGCCAACUUCAGCUACUUUGGGAUUCUGAAUUAGGAAGAAAGUUUUUUUUAAGAGGUAGGUGUCUGCACUGUUUGUGGCUUGGAAUUUCAUUUUUGUUCUACUCCAUCUUUACAGUAAUGAAUACAUUGAGAACCAACAACUUUCUGCCACCUUCAUCCCUGUUGAUGCCUGGAUACUCAGAUCACGUGAAAAGCCAAAUAAAGACCCUGUGAAUUCACACUGUUUUGAACAGAGGGCACAUUGUGGACUUUGGCUUACUUAUGAAACUGUGUGUGAGGUACAAAAAUGUUUAUGGCACUUGUUUCUAGCUUGUCUGUACCCUGUGAGAUCUGAGGUGUCUGCAUUUUUUUGUUUCAUAAAAUCUGACUGGGAAAGCUUGCAGAUACCGAUAUUAAAAUUUGAUUGUUACCACCUUGCACACUGUGCUUUUCCCUGAUGGGUAUAAGGAAACUGUACAUCUGGGGUGGGGAGCACCAGCUUUACAGGUUUUUGCUUGAUGUAGCUUUAAAGAUAAAUGUCUCAUGAAGAUCUCUAUAGGGAUCGAACCUAAAUUAAGACAGUGCAGAGAGACAGAAAUUCUGGCAUUAAUCAUAUUACUUUUAUUUAAAUGGUAAGGAGUGAUUUAAUGGAAAAGGUUUUAUUUUUAUUAAUACUUGAUGCUGAAUUUUGAACAGUACUGUACCUAAACAAUUUUACAAACAUAACACUAAAUAUACUGUUUAUUGCUCAUUGUUUUUGCGUGAACAUAAAACCUGGAAAUGAAUACAAGAA
This is a long non-coding RNA of Prinia subflava (tawny-flanked prinia), 2988 nucleotides long. RefSeq lists it as uncharacterized. The transcript has 4 exons. The record is from RefSeq and is a predicted model, not a curated record. Lineage: Eukaryota; Metazoa; Chordata; Aves; Passeriformes; Cisticolidae.